RNAcentral lists this transfer RNA (64 nucleotides) under Anabropsis multispinula. Its description in RNAcentral is "tRNA-Arg". Lineage: Eukaryota; Metazoa; Arthropoda; Insecta; Orthoptera; Anostostomatidae. The record is from RNAcentral.
AAGUAAGAAGCAAAAUUUGCAAUCAGUUUCGACCUGAUCUUUGAUAAUACAUUAUCCUUAUUUA